RNAcentral lists this long non-coding RNA (345 nucleotides) under Mus musculus (house mouse). RNAcentral's name for it is "long non-coding RNA chr11:46874412-46874757". The record is from RNAcentral. Lineage: Eukaryota; Metazoa; Chordata; Mammalia; Rodentia; Muridae.
AUGCCACCCAGGCAAGACAACAAGACGAAGGAUAACAUAAAAUUGGUCAAGAAGGAUAAAGACCCAGGAAACAAGUCUGUGGGCAUGACCUCUAAGAAGUGGCCCAAAGCCUAAGUUCAGGAAAAACACAACCACCUAGUCCUGCUUGACACGGCCAUGCAGGUGCAUCUCUGUAAGGAUGCUCCUGGCUAAAAGCUGUGGUCUCAGAGAGGCUGAAGACUCGUGGUUCCUUGGCUAAGGUAGCCCUUCUGGAGCUCCUUAGGAAGGGACUGAAAAGGUCAUUUCAUGGCACAAAGCCCAGGAAUACAAAGGGAGGAGAUACCCCAGCUAUCGGCAAAGAAGAUG